CUCAAAGACGCUCGGAGAGGCAGAGAAAGCAGCCGGCUCAUGUUCAUGAAGCAGAUGGAGUGAGUGUGUGAGAGUGAAGAAGGGAGGGAGGGUGAUGCAGAAUAAGAUGCCUUAAAGAUGUUACUGCCAGGAUGUACCAUCCUCAAGAUGCAAAUUCCACAACAGAGCCUAACAGAACAGAUUUAGGCUGUUCUGCCUGGCUGCCUCAGGCAAACUGUCAGAACCAUCCAGCUGUCCCUGCUGUCAGUCCGCUCUCUAUGUGAGUUAUGUAUCUCUAAAGCUCUUCACCUGUCCUUGGCUAAUUCCGAAUUGUGGCGACCCUCCUCCACCCCAUUCACCUGCAUUUCAUCACUUCCAGCGCCCGGUCUGAGCUCACUAGAAGCCUGCUCCUCUGCUCAUCCAGAUCUCAGCCAUUCUCUUCAUCCCUUCACGACCUCCACCAGUGUCUACACUCUAUCAGGGGGGUAUCCUACUUCACCAUCCAUGACAUCGCGAUGGGAUCUAAUCGCCAGACUAUUCACGUCAAUAAAAUG
Molecule: long non-coding RNA, 533 nt
Organism: Micropterus salmoides (largemouth bass)
Lineage: Eukaryota; Metazoa; Chordata; Actinopteri; Centrarchiformes; Centrarchidae
Exons: 4
Source: RefSeq, a predicted model, not a curated record